UACGUAGGGGGCAAGCGUUGUCCGGAAUUAUUGGGCGUAAAGGGCUCGUAGGCGGUCUGUCGCGUCGGGAGUGAAAACUCAGGGCUUAACCCUGAGCCUGCUUCCGAUACGGGCAGACUAGAGGUAUGCAGGGGAGAACGGAAUUCCUGGUGUAGCGGUGAAAUGCGCAGAUAUCAGGAGGAACACCGGUGGCGAAGGCGGUUCUCUGGGCAUUACCUGACGCUGAGGAGCGAAAGUGUGGGGAGCGAACAGG
RNAcentral lists this ribosomal RNA (253 nucleotides) under uncultured bacterium. Its description in RNAcentral is "partial 16S ribosomal RNA". It matches the Rfam family "Bacterial small subunit ribosomal RNA", at positions 524 to 776 of the family's 1533-position model. The record is from RNAcentral.